GAUGAACGCUGGCGGCGUGCCUAAUACAUGCAAGUCGAGCGAACAGAUAAGGCGCUUGCUCCUUUGACGUUAGCGGCGGACGGGUGAGUCACACGUGGGUAACCUACCUAUAAGACUGGUAUAACUCCGGGAAACCGGGGCUAAUGCCGGAUAACAUUUGAACCGCAUGGUUUCUAAGUGAAAGAUGGUUUUGCUUUCACUUAUUGAUGGACCCGCGCCGUAUUAGCUUGUUGGGAAGGUAACGGCUUACCAAGGGAACGAUACGUAGCCGACCUGAGAGGGUGAUCGGCGACACUGGAACUGAGACACGGUCCAGACUCCUACGGGAGGCAGCAGUAGGGAAUCUUCCGCAAUGGGCGAAAGCCUGACGGAGCAACGCCGCGUGAGUGAUGAAGGUCUUCGGAUCGUAAAACUCUGUUAUUAGGGAAGAACAAAUGUGUAAGUAACUGUGCACGUCUUGACGGUACCUAAUCAGAAAGCCACGGCUAACUACGUG
Molecule: ribosomal RNA, 496 nt
Filed under: uncultured bacterium
Lineage: Bacteria
Description: partial 16S ribosomal RNA
Rfam family: Bacterial small subunit ribosomal RNA
Source: RNAcentral